RNAcentral lists this transfer-messenger RNA (356 nucleotides) under bacterium. Its description in RNAcentral is "GCA-002701945 sp002701785 Standard tmRNA". It matches the Rfam family "transfer-messenger RNA". Rfam says of the family: Bacterial tmRNA, also known as 10Sa RNA or SsrA, is named for its dual tRNA and mRNA-like properties. Its role is to liberate the mRNA from a stalled ribosome. To accomplish this part of the tmRNA is used as a reading frame that ends in a translation stop signal. The record is from RNAcentral. RNAcentral also lists the same sequence under 1 other name.
GGGGGCGACCGGUUUCGACGGGGCAAGAUAAUGAUAAGAUUGCAUGCAGAGGUUCGGGAUCCUCUUUAAUAACCCCGGAAUAUCGAUAAAUGCCGAUUACGGCUACAUGGCAGCUGCUUAAUUAGCUCUGCCCGCUCUAGAUUGAAUUUGUCUGUGGUUUAAUCUAAGAGCGUCAUAAACGCAGGCUGGUCCCUGGAUUUGUUUACUAGAAAGGGAUAAGAUACUUUGUAAACUGGUUGAUAUAAUGGUUGUUAUUUGUCCGCUAUAUNAAUGAGAAAAAAAUCAGAUAACUAAGUAUGUAGACGUUUUAUUAGCAUCUGUCUCGGACGGGAGUUCGAAUCUCCCCGCCUCCACAU